Molecule: ribosomal RNA, 467 nt
Filed under: uncultured bacterium
Lineage: Bacteria
Description: partial 16S ribosomal RNA
Rfam family: Bacterial small subunit ribosomal RNA
Source: RNAcentral
GACGAACGCUGGCGGCGUGCUUAACACAUGCAAGUCGAACGGAAAGGCCCUGCUUUUGUGGGGUGCUCGAGUGGCGAACGGGUGAGUAACACGUGAGUAACCUGCCCUUGACUUUGGGAUAACUUCAGGAAACUGGGGCUAAUACCGGAUAGGAGCUCCUGCUGCAUGGUGGGGGUUGGAAAGUUUCGGCGGUUGGGGAUGGACUCGCGGCUUAUCAGCUUGUUGGUGGGGUAGUGGCUUACCAAGGCUUUGACGGGUAGCCGGCCUGAGAGGGUGACCGGCCACGUUGGGACUGGAGUACGGCCCAGACUCCUACGGGGGGGAGGGGGGGGGAAUUUUGCAAAAUGGGGGGAAGCCUGAGGCAGCAACCCCGGGGGCGGGAUGAGGGCCUUCGGGUUGUAAACCGCUUUCGCCUGUGACGAAGCGUGGGUGACGGUAAUGGGUAAAGAAGCACCGGCUAACUACGC